GAUGAACGCUGGCGGCGUGCCUAAUACAUGCAAGUCGAGCGAACGGACGAGAAGCUUGCUUCUCUGAUGUUAGCGGCGGACGGGUGAGUAACACGUGGAUAACCUACCUAUAAGACUGGGAUAACUUCGGGAAACCGGAGCUAAUACCGGAUAAUAUUUUGAACCGCAUGGUUCAAAAGUGAAAGACGGUCUUGCUGUCACUUAUAGAUGCAUCCGCGCUGCAUUAGCUAGUUGGUAAGGUAACGGCUUACCAAGGCAACGAUGCAUAGCCGACCUGAGAGGGGGAUCGGCCACCCUGGAGCGGAGACACGGUCCUUACUCCUACGGGAGGCAGCAGUAGGGAACCGUCCGCAGUAGGCGAAAGCCUGACGGAGCAACGCCGCGUGAGUUAUGAAGGUCUUCGGAUCGUAAAACUCUGUUAUUAGGGAAGAACAGAUGUGUAAGUAGCUGUGCACAUCGUGACGGUACCUAAUCAGAAAGCCACGGCUAACUACGUG
Molecule: ribosomal RNA, 497 nt
Filed under: uncultured bacterium
Lineage: Bacteria
Description: partial 16S ribosomal RNA
Rfam family: Bacterial small subunit ribosomal RNA
Source: RNAcentral